Long non-coding RNA from Astyanax mexicanus (Mexican tetra), 1424 nucleotides. RefSeq lists it as uncharacterized. The record is from RefSeq and is a predicted model, not a curated record. Lineage: Eukaryota; Metazoa; Chordata; Actinopteri; Characiformes; Acestrorhamphidae. The transcript is spliced from 4 exons.
GGACAUAAAGAAUAAAAGCAGAACCCCACUCUAAAGUAAAGGAAAGAUUAGUCUCAUGUUCAGUUUUAUUUGUAAUUACUAGUUAAAAGGUAUUGUUCUUUACACAUGCACAGUUUUGCUGAGUUUUGAUACUGUUUUGUUAGCUGUCUAAAUGUGUCUGUUUAUUACAUUAUAGUGUGUGGACUGUUUAGACAUCAGGUAUCCAAUUAUGUUUUGUUGUAAGAUCACUUUUUUGUGCUCUAUUGAUUUUGCCUCUUCAGAUGACUGCUUCAGCACCUGAACGCAUGUCCUCACAUACAGAGGAGCCUACAAGAAAGAUGCUUGAAAUUGUGAACUCAAGACCUGAACCGAAGGCCUUACAGACGUAAUUGCCAACAAGAAAGAGUCUGAUAGAUGCUGAAAGUGAGCUUUGUGCAGCCUCCGAAAAAGAGAUCUGUGCUCAUUGAGGAAAUGGUGUCAGCACUUAAAGAGUUACUAACUGCCCACUUGUCUGACCCAAUACCAAUGGAUGUUGGACCUUCAGGAUCUCAUGUCCCUUGUCGGCCUGAUGGAAGUUUCUGGAAGUCAGCCUUCCCCAUCACCCACCACAGUUCAGCUGCCCAUCAUGCAGUUCAAUCUCCUGCAUUGGACUAGCGGUUCACUCUCCACUACUGAUUGCAUCGAAGUUUACAUGAACUCUAAAUGCUUUAAUUACUCAAGUUGCUAUACACAUGGAUAUAUUACCUUUGUAAAUAAUAUCGAUUUGAUUUGACUUAAAACAUAUUAUAACUGCGUAAAAUUGACUUUAACAUCAUCAUUAACACAAUCAUUUCUUUUUGGGUUCAUUUGUGUGUUGAAUGUAGAAUGUAAAGUCUGUUUUUGAAGGAUUCAGGGCUGAGAAAAGCGUUUUGCGUAUAGUUUUGAGCUCCUCUCUCACUACUUAGAGCAAUAAACUGCUUCAAGUGUUGCUUUGAACUGAAAAGUUGUCUUUCGCCCAAAAAUGAGUAUUUAACACCUAUUAGCACAUAGGUAUUAGCACAUUAGCACUUCGUAUAUUAAGCAUUUCUUAAUCUAGAUUCAUUUGUGUGUUGAGUGUAGUAAAGCCUGUCCUUGAAGGAUUCAGGGCUGAGAACAGCGUUUUGGACACAGUUUUGAGCUCCUCUCUCGCUCCUUAGAGCAAUGCUUCGAAGGUUGUUUUGAACUGAAACUUCUCUUUCGCUCAAAAAUGAGUUUUUAAGAACGAAAACACAUUAGAACUGUAUAAAAGGUACUAACAUCAUGAAAUAAACAUUUCUUAACUGUUUCUGUUUAUUUGUGUGUUGAAUGUAGUAAAGUCUGCUUUUGAAGGAUUCAGGGCUGAGAAAAGCGUUUUGCGUAUAGUUUUGAGCUCCUCUCUCACUACAUAGAACAAUAAACUGCUUCAAAUGUUGGUUUGGACUGAAACU